GAUUGCUGCUCAAUUUCCAGUACCUCGUCAUCGAUUCUUUUCCAUGUAAUUUCUCUUCUUCCCCUGUUAAAUAGGUUUCUUGCAAUCGUUUUGCAAUACAUUGUUGAUUGAUGCUGCUCGAUUUUUAUAUGGAUUGAACGAUUUACAGUUGAUUGAUGCUACUUGAUAGUGUAUUUGGACUGAUGUACAACGGAUUGAUGUUUUAUGCUUCUCGAUUGAUUAUAUGG
Molecule: long non-coding RNA, 227 nt
Filed under: Nicotiana benthamiana
Lineage: Eukaryota; Viridiplantae; Streptophyta; Magnoliopsida; Solanales; Solanaceae
Description: long non-coding RNA (NBEN_LNC004639)
Source: RNAcentral